Long non-coding RNA from Bufo bufo (common toad), 149 nucleotides. RefSeq lists it as uncharacterized. The transcript has 3 exons. The record is from RefSeq and is a predicted model, not a curated record. NCBI's taxonomy places the organism in Eukaryota, Metazoa, Chordata, Amphibia, Anura, Bufonidae.
CCUUAGAGGGGGACACCCCAAGGUCUCGCAGAAAUUCAAAUAGGCCCGCCAGGUUCGGUAAUAAAUCCUGGACGAUGCCGGUUUACGCGCACGAAUCAUGGUACGGACCACGUCAGCAGAAAACCCCCGCCGUGUUAGGACCGCGGUUU